RNAcentral lists this ribosomal RNA (692 nucleotides) under uncultured Bacteroides sp. Its description in RNAcentral is "bacterial SSU rRNA". It matches the Rfam family "Bacterial small subunit ribosomal RNA", at positions 34 to 715 of the family's 1533-position model. Lineage: Bacteria; Pseudomonadati; Bacteroidota; Bacteroidia; Bacteroidales; Bacteroidaceae. The record is from RNAcentral.
CGCUAGCUACAGGCUUAACACAUGCAAGUCGAGGGGCAGCAUGAACUUAGCUUGCUAAGUUUGAUGGCGACCGGCGCACGGGUGAGUAACACGUAUCCAACCUUCCGUUUACUCAGGGAUAGCCUUUCGAAAGAAAGAUUAAUACCUGAUAGUAUGGUGAGAUUGCAUGAUAACACCAUUAAAGAUUUAUUGGUAAACGAUGGGGAUGCGUUCCAUUAGGUAGUAGGCGGGGUAACGGCCCACCUAGCCUGCGAUGGAUAGGGGUUCUGAGAGGAAGGUCCCCCACAUUGGAACUGAGACACGGUCCAAACUCCUACGGGAGGCAGCAGUGAGGAAUAUUGGUCAAUGGGCGAGAGCCUGAACCAGCCAAGUAGCGUGAAGGAUGACUGCCCUAUGGGUUGUAAACUUCUUUUAUAAAGGAAUAAAGUGAAGCACGUGUGCUUUUUUGUAUGUACCGUAUGAAUAAGGAUCGGCUAACUCCGUGCCAGCAGCCGCGGUAAUACGGAGGAUUCGAGCGUUAUCCGGAUUUAUUGGGUUUAAAGGGAGCGUAGGCGGAAGUUUAAGUCAGUUGUGAAAGUUUGCGGCUCAACCGUAAAAUUGCAGUUGAUACUGGAUUUCUUGAGUGCGGUAUAGGUAGGCGGAAUUCGUGGUGUAGCGGUGAAAUGCUUAGAUAUCACGAAGAACUCCGAUUG